AUGGCGCCCGCAGCCAUCCUCUCCGCCGCGCCCCUUCCCCUCGUUGACCUCCAGGAGGCCAACUCCGGCGGCCCCGUCGCCUCUGUGCGCGAUCCCCUCGCUGCCCUCCUCCUUGGUCUGGCCCGACGCCGCCCCGUCUCCGCUCGCCGCGCCCUGCUUCUCCUCCCGAUCGCCCCCGCUCCACCUCGCCCUGCCGUCCCCGUGCCAGGACCUCCUCGCCCUUCUCCUCGCCCUGUGCGCCCGACGCUGUUGCUCUGCUCCACUCCAGCAAGCGCGCCGCUGCUGCCCUCCUCUGUCCGUCUCCAUGCGCCUCACCUACUGCUUGCCUAUGUCGCGAGUGCCUCGUCGAGUUCGUGGUUUACCUGGGACCGACCAUUCCCUUUGCAGGCACGACCUACUGACCUCGUCUCCCUCCUGCCCUACUGCUGCCUCCAAGCACCAUCGAUGCAUCUACGUGGUUAG
This 462-nucleotide ribosomal RNA is filed under the name Triticum aestivum (bread wheat). RNAcentral's name for it is "partial small subunit ribosomal RNA". The record is from RNAcentral. Lineage: Eukaryota; Viridiplantae; Streptophyta; Magnoliopsida; Poales; Poaceae.